CCUUACUCUACCUUCCUGCUCUCUCUGCAGGAUGUGCUCAGCUAGGAUACUUUGUUAUAGGUCUGCUUCCUGAUUAAGAGGCAGACUUUUAAGAAACAGGCAGAGGGGUGUAGGAAAAGGCCUCGAGUAUACAUUAGAGUAAAAACUUGCAUUGGCCCAUCUCAGUCUUUCCCAGCUGGAGCACCGUGGUUCUGCAAAAAGACAGCAGAGCUGGCAGGGAAAGAGGUUGGAGGAUGAGCUGAAACGGAUGAAAACAGCUAAAGGUGCUUGCAGAUCUACACAGAAGAGUGCUUCCUCUUUCAUGCUCUUCUCCUUCCCCAUGAGUGGCAGCAAUGUGAAUGCAAACAAUCGUUUUCAUGGACACUGAAAAACAAGCAAUUAUGGAAUAAAAGCCCUUCUGUUUCUGCUGGCAGUGGAUGAAGUGACAGGAACCUUAAUUAUGCUCAAAUUCACGGUAAUAUAAAAUGCAGGAAGUGAGAAAAUCAUCAGGGCUUAAAAAAAUGUCUUUUUUUGCUUUUUUAUGGUGUUGUGAAAUUGUUCUGGAUGUGGGCCAAAUCCACUCAUCAGUGAUGCUGAUGUAAAUUAAAAGAAGCAGUGUUUACUUACAGUGAAACCGUAUCUUGCAUGUUAACUCGUGUAACUUAAAGUGUAACUUAAAGCAUGGUUUGCCACAUACCCCAAAGGGAAGGUAAUUUUCACCAGCUGUCUAAUUGCAUGUAAAGCAACUAAACAAUUGUCCUCCA
Molecule: long non-coding RNA, 743 nt
Organism: Oxyura jamaicensis (ruddy duck)
Lineage: Eukaryota; Metazoa; Chordata; Aves; Anseriformes; Anatidae
Exons: 3
Source: RefSeq, a predicted model, not a curated record